Long non-coding RNA from Pantherophis guttatus, 240 nucleotides. RefSeq lists it as uncharacterized. The record is from RefSeq and is a predicted model, not a curated record. NCBI's taxonomy places the organism in Eukaryota, Metazoa, Chordata, Lepidosauria, Squamata, Colubridae.
GAUUAUGCAAGAUUAACUUUGCCAUCAGGUGAACAUCUGGAAUGGCGCUGGACUCUUGGACAAUACCUUAUAUACCUGGGAGAUGGAGUCAAGCAUAAAAGCCCAAUAAUGGGGGAAGAGUUUGGGUUUACUUGGGUUUUUGUUUCUCUUCCCAUCUGUCUCUUCUAGGCUUCCCUAUUUUCUGUUUUGAUUAUGCAAAAUCGGCCAAUAUUUCUCAUUAAAUUGUACGUGUUCUUAAUU